This 207-nucleotide long non-coding RNA is filed under the name Elaeis guineensis (African oil palm). RNAcentral's name for it is "long non-coding RNA (EGUI_LNC050054)". The record is from RNAcentral. Lineage: Eukaryota; Viridiplantae; Streptophyta; Magnoliopsida; Arecales; Arecaceae.
AGCCAAUAUUGCCUUCAAAUCCCUACAAAAGAUACGAAGCAAGCCUUGAUUAAACUAAAUAUAAUGUAAAAAAAAGUAAAAGCAAAAACAGGAAUUGGGUUGCCUCCCACAAAGUGCUAAGUUUUAAGUCUUCAGCCAGACCAGAUUAUUGACAGGUGCUUCCUCAGUUGCUGGCUUAUGUAUUGGUUCAUUUAUCCUUACAAGUGG